GGAAUCGUGUUUCGGCACGAGUUGUAAAUUGCAGGUUGGAGUCUUUGUGGAAGCGUGUGUCCAAGUCCCUUGGAACAGGGCGCCAUUGAGGGUGAGAGCCCCGUGGGAUGCGCGCGGAAGCAACAAGGCCCUUCUGACGAGUCGAGUUGUUUGGGAAUGCAGCUCUAAGCGGGUGGUAAAUUCCAUCUAAGGCUAAAUACUGGCGAGAGACCGAUAGCGAACAAGUACUGUGAAGGAAAGAUGAAAAGCACUUUGAAAAGAGAGUGAAACAGCACGUGAAAUUGUUGAAAGGGAAGGGUAUUGGGCCCGACAUGGGGAUUGCGCAUCUCUGCUCCUUGUGGGCGGGGCGCUGUGCUUUUCCUGGGCCAGCAUCGGUUUUUGCCGCA
Molecule: ribosomal RNA, 386 nt
Filed under: Pichia pseudolambica
Lineage: Eukaryota; Fungi; Ascomycota; Pichiomycetes; Pichiales; Pichiaceae
Description: eukaryotic LSU rRNA
Rfam family: Eukaryotic large subunit ribosomal RNA
Source: RNAcentral